GAGAGUUAAAUAGCACGUGAAAUUGUUGAAAGGGAAACGAUUGAAGCCAGUCGUACCGGCGGAUAAUCAGCCUUUCGGGUGCGAUUCUGUGGGGCGUGAGGAGCUUAACCGCCUUCAUGUUUUGCAUAUUCGUGCACAUUUGGUGUACUUGUCCGUGUGGUGGGUUAACAUCAAUUUUGGUGGUCAUAAAAUGACUGGAGGAAUGUAGCUUCGAUCUCGUAUUGAAGUGUUAUAGCCUUCGGUAGAUGUGAUGACUGAGAUUGAGGAUUGCAACGGAUACCCCUCGGGGCUACCUGUCUGAUCUCUGAUCGUUGCUCUGGUGCCGAAAGCUUGCUUACGGUUGUCAAAGUCGAUGGUCAAUAGGUUAGAAUGGGUUAAAUUCGUUAAGGAUGUUGACGUAAUGGCUUUAAACGA
RNAcentral lists this ribosomal RNA (414 nucleotides) under uncultured Rhizophagus. RNAcentral's name for it is "partial 28S ribosomal RNA". Lineage: Eukaryota; Fungi; Glomeromycota; Glomeromycetes; Glomerales; Glomeraceae. The record is from RNAcentral.